GACGAACGCUGGCGGCGUGCUUAACACAUGCAAGUCGCACGGAAAGGCCCUGCUUUUGUGGGGUGCUCGAGUGGCGAACGGGUGAGUAACACGUGAGUAACCUGCCCUUGACUUUGGGAUAACUUCAGGAAACUGGGGCUAAUACCGGAUAGGAGCUCCUGCUGCAUGGUGGGGGUUGGAAAGUUUCGGCGUUUGGGGAUGGACUCGCGGCUUAUCAGCUUGUUGGUGGGGUAGGGGCUUACCAAGGCUUUGACGGGUAGCCGGCCUGAGAGGGUGACCGGCCACAUUGGGACUGAUAUACGGCCCAGACUCCUACGGGAGGCAGCAGUGGGGAAUAUUGCACAAUGGGCUGAAGCCUGAUGCAGCAACGCCGCGUGCGGGAUGACGGCCUUCGGGUUGUAAACCGCUUUCGCCUGUGACGAAGCGUGAGUGACGGUAAUGGGUAAAGAAGCACCGGCUAACUACGUG
Molecule: ribosomal RNA, 468 nt
Filed under: uncultured bacterium
Lineage: Bacteria
Description: partial 16S ribosomal RNA
Rfam family: Bacterial small subunit ribosomal RNA
Source: RNAcentral